AGUAACACGUGAGUGACCUGCCUUUUAGACUGGAACAACUUACCGAGAGGUGAGCUAAUGCCGGAUGAGUUAUAUAAGUGCAUGUUUAUAUAGGAAAAGUUGGGAGACCUGACGCUGAAAGAUGGACUCGCGUCCCAUUAGCUAGUUGGUAGGGUAAUGGCCUACCAAGGCGACGAUGGGUAGCCGGCCUGAGAGGGUGGCCGGCCACACUGGGACUGAGACACGGCCCAGACUCCUACGGGAGGCAGCAG
Molecule: ribosomal RNA, 251 nt
Filed under: uncultured bacterium
Lineage: Bacteria
Description: partial 16S ribosomal RNA
Rfam family: Bacterial small subunit ribosomal RNA
Source: RNAcentral